This 2090-nucleotide long non-coding RNA is filed under the name Homo sapiens (human). RNAcentral describes it as "HSALNT0175873". The record is from RNAcentral. Lineage: Eukaryota; Metazoa; Chordata; Mammalia; Primates; Hominidae.
CUGUCCCUGGGCAAUGGAAUGUCUCGGUAUAAAACCCGAUUGUACGUUCUAUCUACUGAGAUAGGGAAAAACCGCCUUAGGGCUGGAGGUGGGACAUGCGGGCAGCAAUACUGCUUUGUAAAGCAUUGAGAUGUUUAUGUGAAUGCAUACCUAAAAGCACAGCACUUAAUCCUUUACCUUGUCUAUGAUGCAAAGACCUUUGUUCACAUGUUUCUCUGCUGACCCUCUCUCCACAAUUGUCUUGUGACCCUGACACAUCCCCCUCUCGGAGAAACACCCACGAAUGAUCAAUACUAAGGGAACUCAGAGGCUGGCGGGAUCCUCCAUAUGCUGGACGCUGGUUCCCCGGGCCCCCUUAUUUCUUUCUCUAUACUUUGUCUCUGUGUCUUUUUCUUUUCCAAGUCUCUCGUUCCACCUUAUGAGAAACACCCACAGGUGUGGAGGGGCAACCCACCCCUACAGAAGGGGCCACUGGGGCAGGGAAGAGACAGAUGUUGGAUUUUAGAGGAUCCGGUAAAGGAUGCUACUCUUCUCCAUCCAAGUUUGAAAGCGACUGAGAGAGACACACAACAGUCAGACAGAGAGAGAUCAAAAUAUUUUCCUGUGACUUAAGAGCAAUGGCCAAGCUGGCUUCCUGCUAUCCUACCCUUGAACUUGACAUUCACCCACUGAAAAUGCCCAGUCCCUGGCUCAGUGGGGAUACCAGAGGCUGCUAACUGCCAGGCAGCAACAGACCAAUAAAGGCUUCCAAAAGAGAUGGUGCGCUGGGCUGGGCAUGCCCAGGAGCUCCUCCCACGCUUGGCCAUCAGAUUAGGAUCCUGAGACCCGGAGAAGUUAAGCAACCUGUCCAAGUUCACACAACAUGCCCACAGGCCUGCAACUUGGUCGGACUUGGCUGUGUGGCUUUGCUGCAGAUGGUGGGUCCAGCUCAGCCCAGCUGCAUGUCUCACCCUGGGGCCCGAUAAUAGUCAAGGAUCUCCAGAGAAAUGGAACCGAUAGUGUGUAUGUGUAUACAGAUGAGGAGAUUUAUUAUGAAAAUUGGCUCGCGUGAUGAUAGAGGCCAAGAAGUCCCACGAUCUGCCGUCUGCAAGCUGAGGACCAGGAAAGCUAGUCAUAUAUGUAAUUCAGACUGAAUCUGAAGGCCCAAGAACCAGGAGCACGUGGAUGUCCCAGCUCAAGAAGAGACAGAGACUUCUCCCUUCCUCUGCCUUUCUGUUGUAUUCAGGCACUUAAUGGGACUGGGUGCUGCCCACCCCUUUUGGCGAGAACAACCUUCUUUUAUUUAUUUAUUUAUUUUCUGAAAUGGAGUCUCGCUCUGUCACCUAGGCUGGAGUGCAGUGGCGCGAUAUUGGCUCACUGCAACCUUUGCCUCCCAGGUUCAAGAGAUUCUCCUGCAUCAGCCCCCCGAGUAGCUGGGAUUACAGGCAUGCACCACCAUGCCCUGCUAAUUUCUGUAUUUUUAGUAGAGAUGGGGUUUCGCCAUAUUGGCCAGGCUAGUCUCCAACUCCUGACCUCAAGUGAUCCACCUGCCUCAACCUCCCAAAGUGCUGGGAUCACAGAUGUGAGCCACCACGCCUGGCCUAAGAGCAACCUUCUUUACUCAGUCCAUUGAUUAAAAUGCUAUUCUUUUCCAGAAACACUCUCACAGACACGCCCAGAAAUAAUACCAGCUAUCUGGAUACCCUUAGCCCAGUUAAGCCUAUAAAAUUAACCAUCACAGGCCUGGACUGAAGGGGCAGCAGCAGCCAUCUGGGAGGUAUUUAUUCUUCCAGUGGCUACAGCAAAAGCAUAAGGAACCAGGAAAGCUAGUUUCAGCUUCUGUUCACGUCUGAACAGCAAGUCCUGGCAAGUCACAUGAUCAAGCUGAAAGUCUAGAAGAAGAGAGUACACUCCAUCCACAAGGAGGCCACGGUUGAUGGGUAAAAUGCUAAACACCACUACAGGGUAAUGAAGAAUUGGGAUCAAGAACUCAAACUUUCACAGAAGGGAAGGGCCCAGGGCUGGGCAACCCAGCCUGUGGCCAGAUAUCAGGGUGGGAACUCUCUAGAAGCCAAGAGUGGCCCCGAGCUCCUUCCAGUUUUGGAAACUCC